RNAcentral lists this ribosomal RNA (255 nucleotides) under uncultured bacterium. Its description in RNAcentral is "partial 16S ribosomal RNA". It matches the Rfam family "Bacterial small subunit ribosomal RNA", at positions 524 to 776 of the family's 1533-position model. The record is from RNAcentral.
UACGGGGGAGCAAGCGUUGUUCGGAUUUACUGGGACGUAAAGGGCGCAGUAGGCGGCGUGACAAGUCACUUGUGAAAUCUCCGGGCUUAACUCGGAGCGGUCAAGUGAUACUGUCGUGCUAGAGUACAGAAGGGGCAACUGGAAUUCUCGGUGUAGCGGUGAAAUGACGUAGAUAUCGAGAGGAACACCUGCGGCGAAGGCGGGUUGCUGGGCUGAUACUGACGCUGAGGCGCGAAAGCUAGGGGAGCGAACGGG